AAAGGGAUUUAUUUCAAUUCAUCGGCCUCAGAUUGGUAGGACUACCCGCUGAACUUAAGCAUAUCAAUAAGCGGAGGAAAAGAAACUAACAAGGAUUCCCCUAGUAACGGCGAGUGAAGAGGGAAGAGCCCAAGAUUGAAAGCUGGCGCCUUCGGCGUCCGCAUUGUAAUCUCAAGAAGUGUUUUCCGCUUCGGACCAUGCCUAAGUCCCUUGGAAAAGGGCAUCAUAGAGGGUGAUAAUCCCGUACAUGGCAUGGAGCGCCCGAAGCUUUGUGAUACGCUUUCUAAGAGUCGAGUUGUUUGGGAAUGCAGCUCAAAAUGGGUGGUAAAUGCCAUCUAAGGCUAAAUAUUGGGGAGAGACCGAUAGCGAACAAGUACAGUGAUGGAAAGAUGAAAAGAACUUUGAAAAGAGAGUUAAACAGUACGUGAAAUUGCCAAAAGGGAAGGGUAGGAGGUCAGAGAUGCGUCGCAGGAUUCAGCCUUGCUUUUGCUUGGUGUUUUUCCUGCGUUGCAGGCCAACGUCGGUUUUGGGCACUGGAGAAGGGUAGGAGGAACGUGGCACCUCUCGGGGUGUGUUAUAGCCUCCUACUGGAURCAGCGACCGAGACCGAGGAACGCAGCGUACUCGUAAGAGCGGGCCUUUUGGCA
This 647-nucleotide ribosomal RNA is filed under the name Pseudozyma hubeiensis. RNAcentral's name for it is "eukaryotic LSU rRNA". Lineage: Eukaryota; Fungi; Basidiomycota; Ustilaginomycetes; Ustilaginales; Ustilaginaceae. The record is from RNAcentral.